RNAcentral lists this ribosomal RNA (376 nucleotides) under uncultured bacterium. Its description in RNAcentral is "bacterial SSU rRNA". It matches the Rfam family "Bacterial small subunit ribosomal RNA", at positions 28 to 433 of the family's 1533-position model. The record is from RNAcentral.
GGUGAACGUUGGCGGUGCGUCUAAUACAUGCAAGUCGAGCGAGGCUUCGAGCCGAGCGGCGGACGGCUGAGUAACACGUUGGUAGCUACCCCCCACUCAGGGAUAACCAUUGGAAACGAUGGCUAAUACCGGAUGGUCCUGUAAAGGUAAAGCUUUUGCGGUGGGGGAGGUGCCUGCGGCCUAUCAGUUAGUUGGUAAGGUAACGGCUUACCAAGACGAUGACGGGUAACUGGUCUGAGAGGAUGAUCAGUCAGAGGGAAACUGAGACACGGUUCCCACUCCUACGGGAGGCAGCAGUAAAGAAUCUUCCACAAUGGGCGAAAGCCUGAUGGAGCGACACCGCGUGCCAGAUGACGGCCUUCGGGUUGUAAAUGGC